RNAcentral lists this long non-coding RNA (761 nucleotides) under Homo sapiens (human). RNAcentral's name for it is "non-protein coding lnc-GPR89B-3:5". Lineage: Eukaryota; Metazoa; Chordata; Mammalia; Primates; Hominidae. The record is from RNAcentral.
CAAAAGGCCCACUAGGUGGAGUGAAAUGGAUCAGGAGCAAUUAUGUUCAAUUUCACCUUUAAGUUUUCUCAAAAGGAGGAGCAUUAAGAAUCAGCCACCUUAGUACAUACUUAAAGGUAAAUAUUACAUUUAAGAAAAUCCUUGUUAUCUUAAUGUGGCACUGAGAAAAUACUAUCAAGUACAGCACGUGGACUAAGUUAGAACAUUAAAUACACAGGAUCUCUUGAUAGAAUUAUCCUCAGACUUUCCAGUUUUAAUCUUCUAGAUUUACUGAAACCUGAUCCUGUCCCCGCUGAUGAAACAUCAGAGGAAUGGGAUCCUGUAGGUGAAGAUCAUCAGCUUAUAAAAUCCUGUUGCCAUCAAUGGGGGUAGCAGGAAAAUGAUGAAGAUUGGUUAAGGGGCCAGUGGACUCAGCAUUGAAAUGAAUCAUGGACUUGAAGCCAAAAGACUCAGUUUGUGUCCCAGCUCUCUCAAGCAAAGCCCCCAAGUCCCAGUUUCCUCAUCUAUAAAAAAUAAUAAAAAUACUUAAUGGACAAAGUUGUGUGGGAAUCAAAUGAGAUAAAGUAUGCGCUGCAUAUGCCCUAAAGUCUUAUUUAAAUAAAGGCAUUCUUUUCAUCUGAGAAAUUGAAGAAAAAGAUGCCCUGAACAAGAAAGACAGGAGAAAAGAUUUUUUUUUUUUUUAAUGAAGGAUAAAAUGAUGAAAUCCCCCCAGGAGAAGAUAGUCAUUGGACAAAAGGUGGGUCAUUCUCACGUUGACCAAG